RNAcentral lists this ribosomal RNA (464 nucleotides) under uncultured bacterium. Its description in RNAcentral is "partial 16S ribosomal RNA". It matches the Rfam family "Bacterial small subunit ribosomal RNA", at positions 339 to 795 of the family's 1533-position model. The record is from RNAcentral.
CUACGGGUUGCUGCAGUGGGGAAUAUUGCACAAUGGGCGCAAGCCUGAUGCAGCCAUGCCGCGUGUAUGAAGAAGGCCUUCGGGUUGUAAAGUACUUUCAGCGGGGAGGAAGGGAGUAUAGUUAAUACCUUCGCUCAUUGACGUUACCCGCAGAAGAAGCACCGGCUAACUCCGUGCCAGCAGCCGCGGUAAUACGGAGGGUGCAAGCGUUAAUCGGAAUUACUGGGCGUAAAGCGCCCGCAGGCGGUUUGUUAAGUCAGAUGUGAAAUCCCCGGGCUCAACCUGGGAACUGCAUCUGAUACUGGCAGGCUUGAGUCUGGUAGAGGGGGGUAGAAUUCCUGGUGUAGCAGUGAAAUGCGUAGAGAUCUGGAGGAAUACCGGUGGCGAAGGCGGCCCCCUGGACGAAGACUGACGCUCAGGUGCGAAAGCGUGGGGAGCAAACAGGAUUAGAUACCCCCGUAGUC